CGGCUGCGGCAGCUUCGGGAGCUGGAGGGACGGGGCCGGGCGGCCGGCGGCCGCCACGCUCGCCUGACCUGCGUGCCCCGCUGGCCGCGCCGGGCUGCCCCGAAGGAUGUCCGCCCAGUCCAAGGGGACCGCAUCCUCCUCCUCCUCGCCGUCCGAGGGGCCGCCGGCAGCCUCCAAAGCCAAGGUGAAGGAGCAGAUCAAGAUCAUAGUGGAGGAUUUGGAAUUAGUCCUGGGGGACCUGAAAGAUGUCGCCAAGGAACUUAAGGAGGUGGUUGACCAGAUUGACACACUGACAUGUGAUCUGCAGCUGGAGGAUGAGAUGACAGACAGUUCCAAAACAGACACGCUGAACAGCAGCUCCAGCAGCACAACAGCCUCCAGCCUGGAGAAGGUCAAGGUGCGGGGCAGCGCGCCCCUCAUCAAGCCGCCCGCGCACCCCUCUGCCAUCCUGACCGUGCUGCGGAAGCCCAACCCGCCGCCUCCUCCCCCUCGGCUGACGCCCGUCAGGUGUGAUGAGCCUCCCCGGCUGCCUCCUUUGGCCAACCCAGUCAAGACCAACGGCACCCUGCUGCGGAACGGGGGCCUGCCCGCGGGGCCCGGCCGCAUCCCGAAUGGAGAUGUGUGCUGCGUGCCCAGCAGCCCCCUGGAGAAGGCGGUGAUGCCGCCGCUGGCGCACAGAGCCGAGAAGGAGCGCUGUGCCCAGGCGGGAGCGAGGGAGCGCGUCCGGUUCAGCGAGAAGGUGCAGUACCACGGCUACUGCCCCGACUGUGACGUUCGCUACAACAUCAAAAACAGGGAGGUGCACUUGCACAGCGAGCCGGCCCGGGCUGCGGGAAAGCUGCCACACCAGUGCCCUCCUCUGCCACCUCCUCCACCUCCACUGCCUCCAUUUCUUCUGGAAAAUGGAGGGUUGGGGAUAAGUCCCAGUAAUAGCUUUCCUCCUCCAAGACCUGCAACUGUGCCUCCACAAACUGCGCCAAAACCCCAGAAGACCAUCUUGAGGAAAUCAACCACUACAACAGUGUGAAGUAUGCCCCUUGUAAUAACUCUUUGUUUUUUCCUAUAUAUAAACAUAAAUAGGUAAUGAGCACUUUCUACUUGAGCAAUAAAAAGACCCAAUGUAUUACACCCUGUGUCCAGUGAAGUGGCAUAAAAAUCACAUGGUCCUACACCAGAAGCUGACUUCUCACAAGCUACAGAGGAGGUGAAGUGUUCUGACUCUUUAACUUCUCUUCCCCCAGUCCUUUGAGUAAAGCCAUAUUCUCUUCUGGAUGAGUGGAGUUACCUGACACUCAUUGCAGCAACAAAGGCAGAUGAGCCAACCAUUCUAUCCUGGACACCUUCAGGCUUGAAGGAGUGUCUAUAUUUGGAGGCACGUCAAUUAAGUUGCGUAUCAGAUUCAUCAUUGUGACUUCUUGCAGGCCAGAUCUGAGAAGUAACCAGGAAACCUGACCCUUAGUGGAGAAUGGAAGAACCCUUGGAGUCAGAGCACAACUGAGCACUAGUGUAAUCUGCAUUGAAUCAUCUUUCUCAGAUCUGACAGCUACAAGCUGAGUCCUGGCAAAAGCCACAGCCUUAAAUUCCAUUCAGUGCGAAAGCAAGAUAAGAGAACUCAAUGUUUUGCCCCGUUGCAGAAACUGCUGUCUCCAAGCCUGACACCUGAGUUCCAUGCUGAGCAACCAGAGUACCAAACAAGGAGUUUUUAAUGGGUACCGCCAGCAUCAACAAAUAUUUCAAUAUGUAGCCAAAAGGAAAAAGGAAGCACUAAGUAAUUUCAGAAAAUGGAUACAUUUAUUAUAACAGAGGAAUGUUACUUUCUGUGGGGAAGAAGACCUCUGUCGUCCCUUGUAUAUAUUCAAAGCCAUACAGGAACAGGGCAUAAGUGAAGUUAAGUCACUUAAAAGAAUGCUGUCUCCUGUCCUCCACCCAACUUUGAGGAAGUUCUGCUCUUAGAGAUUGCAUCUUGAUGCACUUCUAUUAUUUGCACUGUCACUUCCAUUCAGGGUAAUGAUGUGUGCCACCAUUUGCACAGAUGGCCCCAGGAGAUUUUUGACCACAACAAGCUAUACUUUGCCAGGGCUCCAAAUGGAAUUAAAAAGUUAGAACUGAAGAAAGACAUUUAUGCUCUCUUUCACUAUGGGGAUCUCUUCACAGAAAGGAUUACAGUCCUUUCUUAGGAUGAAAUAAAUACAUGCAUAUACAUACAUAUAUACAUAUGUAUAUAUAUGAAAAAGAAGCAACAUGAUAAGGUGUAUUUAAAAAGGGGAUAUAAUCUUUUUUAAUAGCAUCCAUUUUUUUUUAUCAUAUUAGCAGCCGAGAAAUUUAAUCUAUUGAAUUAUACAUCAAAAAAUGUUCCUGUUGAACAUUGACAUUUAGUCCCAGUUACUGCUAAAGAAAUCAUUUGUAAUAUGUACUUGACAUAAAAUUUUUCUAGCCAUUUGUCUAUACUUCAUGGAGAAAUCUAACAGACAAGCAACAUUUUCAGUUUAUUUUUCUAAAUAAAUGUGUUGUUUGUAUUAUUUGCAGUCACUCAUUUUGGCUGGUUUUCAUUAUCUCCAAAAGUGAUUUAAAGACAGAACCAAAACACAGGGAUUGUUUGUUCUUGUUAAGCUGUAAUGAUUUGCUGAAUGAAAGCUUUAAUAUAAAUACUGUAAUUUGUAAAAUGAUGAAGUAUAUUUAUAUAGGCAAAUAUGUAUGGAAAACAAAAGGAGGUAUUUUAACUCUUAAUUUCAGAACAUAGUUUAUUUUAAUAUCCACAGGAAGAAAUUAAAUAUAUAAUGGGAUAGGGUUUUUAUUAUCAAUGAGUUUUAGUAAGUGAAAAUUUGGAUGUUUAAGAAUGAAACGAAUGUAGUCAAAUAAUGGUGGUUUCCCAAAUAGAGACCUUUUGCCAGCUGUCUCAUUUUACUCAAAAACUGGUUUAGUCAUUUGGGGGGUUGGGUUUUUCUGGGAUGUGUGUGCUAAAGUCUUUGUUUGGUGUUUUGUUUGUUUUGGCAUACCGACAAGACCAUGAAUUUGAUACUAUUUGCUCAUCAUUUGAAAAGCUACAGAAUAAAAGGUUGUUUCUUAGAACAAUCUACAGUUUGCAGUUAAGAACAGUCAUUUUUCUCCAACUAAUGCAGUGUUUUGUUGUGGAGUUAUUGAACAUUUCAAUGCUAGAGCUGUUUUGAAUAAAUUUUUUUUUCCUUUUUUUUCUUAGUCCAUUAGCCUAUGUGUAAUUCAAAGAGAAAAGUAAUGCAUUUGGUUCCCAGUCCACUUAAAUAAUUCGUCUUAAGUCCAGUUAUAUGUAUCUGAUUUUUAAAGCUGAAUAGCUUUUCUUUCAGUUCAUUGCUUUAUGGAAGCAUUUAAGUGCUCACUAACAGAAAAAAUACCUUUCAACAACAAAAAUUAAGUUAAAAUAAUCUGUGGGUUAACUUUGUGAAGGGCAGAUAUCUUAAAAACGUGUUGCUCUGCUCCAACGUGCUAACAAGUGUUAUGCGUGUAUGUUCGUGUGUGUGUGCACGCAUGGCACCCUUACCUGCUCAUGAAUGAAAUGCCAGCUCUGCUGAAGUAAGUGCCACAAGUCCUGUUACUGCAAAAGAUGCUCAUGUUGCUGUAUUUUUUGGUGAAAGACCUGAUCUCUGUCUUUGCUUGUGACUCUGAAGCCAUAAACAGCUUUUGAAGUUUGUCAGGAAAUUGUAAAAUUAAGUAAGUUUAUGAUAGGCUCUCCCUCAUUUGGCAAAAAUUGGGAUGAUCUUAUGAUUUGACUCUUUUUAUGAAAGUUAGUGGUCAAUUUCCUUUGGUGCAAUGGAUAAAUGAAACCUUUGUAUUUGUUAAAGAAUGAUGGCUGUGUUUUGUUCACACACAAUUCAGCUUUUGGCUUAUAGUGUUCUUACCUUGAUGUCAUUUCUGUGUCAUUAGAGUACGUUAUUUGGACACAUAACUGGCAUGGGCUUGGUUUUCCUCCCUUUUCAGAUAAUAUUUUAAAAUUGGAGAUCUUCUUCUUUGAGAUGAGUAUUCAGUUGUUUAAGAAGAGGACAACAUUAUUGAAACAAUAGUAAAAUUUCAGAAUGAUAAUUUGAACACUUCCAUCAUUGCCUAAUAAUUUCACUUGAAAAAGCUCUUAUUUUUGUGAACAAAAUGCAUUCAUCUGUAUUUGAAAAUAGCCCAAUAAAAAUCCAGUGGAAUAAUUUGUUACUACUUGCAAAUACUUUUCUGCUAUGCUGAGUUCUAGAUCAGCUUGUGUGUAAAAUUUUUAUUGCACAAAACCCACCUAAAACAAUGAACAGUUUUCUUCAGAAAAAUACAUGAGAUAUGAAAAAUAA
Molecule: RNA transcript, 4301 nt
Organism: Haemorhous mexicanus (house finch)
Lineage: Eukaryota; Metazoa; Chordata; Aves; Passeriformes; Fringillidae
Gene: PRR16
Gene name: proline rich 16
Exons: 4
Source: RefSeq, a predicted model, not a curated record